AUGAACUCCUCAAGCAACGUAAGAAACCUUCCCAGGAGUCCAACCAGGAAUCAAAUGGCUCUCUCCUGCUGGCCCCUGGAUAAGGCAUUCCUCGUGGGCAACACGAAGCUUGACUCUGACUUGGGGUCAUUUGCCUACUCCAUUUGCAAAGGUGAAGUGAUCAAAAGGGAUUCUCUCUUCACUUGCGUCCACUGAGGUUAUCAAGUAGGCCAUUGGAGGGAAAAGUGUGAGGCUCUUCUCAAAAUACAUGUUUUCAGGUAAUUGAAAAACAUUUCCUGGAAAGAGAAAUAAGAGCUUGCUCUUCAACAGAGGAAAACAGAUCCAGUCAGAGAAUUGUCUAAGAGAAAGGCAACGCCAAACAGAAUCAGAGACUGGGCUUUCACUCCUGGAUCCCCAAAUACACAACCUGAGGCAAGCCGCUCAACUUCUCUGGGCCUCAGUCUCCUUAUCUGAAUAAUGGAAAUAAUAAUACAAUUCGAGUGGUUGUUGAGAGAAAUAUUGGGGGAACAAUCGCAAAGCGUAGAUCCCAUAAAAUAUGGAGCCAUAAUGGAUGUUCAAUAAGCCUUAGAUGAAUCUAGAACAGUUGCGUCAGUCAUUUGCUUCAAUGAUGAGAUGUGUUAAAUUUGAUUCCAGGGAGACUGAACAUCCAGAUCCUUCUUCUCUUCCCUGAACCGCCCCUACUAUCCAAUAAUCCCAAGGCAAAUCCUCUGUUCUUCUCCUGUAGCAGUUCUGGAGGGUCCAGUGUAGCCACCACGUAGGAUCCUGGUGGCCAACUUCCACUAAGCACUACCACUCAGGAGAGACCUGGGAUCUGGGGGAAGGACCUUGGGGAGAGCUGUUUUUCGUAUUUCUGUAAAUGACUUCAGCACUCAGCAUUGAAGGUCAAGGCAUUAUCAGAAGGUGAUAUGCUAUCAGUUUUGAGUAGAAAAUGAGAAAAAACAAAAGUACAACGGUCACCUUACAUGAAGCAGUAUAUCUGUAGGAAAGAUUGAAGCUUUUUAAAUAUGUUCUUAACAACGGACCUAGAUUUUUAAGAUCACUUCAGGUAUGAUUCUGUGUAGGUUAAAAAGCCCCCACACCAUUCUUUUUGAGCUUAUCGCUGGAAACUUCAGGAAAAUGGGCAUAGGUCAAUCCUUUGGGUAGGUUGGUCCUUGGCAAACCUGAAUUUCCAUUUGGUAAUUCACUGUGUCAAUCAUAAAAAUUUUACAUUAUUUUUCAUUUUUAAAACUAUAAAGUAUUUUCAGUCUCGAAAAUAAGAAGAAAGUACAAACACACCUAAUCGCCACCCAGUUUUUCACCACCCACGUUUCUCUAUCUACUUUAGAUGUUUCUACAUAUAGAAACCUAAAAUAUUAGGGGCGCCUGGGUGGCUCAGUCAUUAAGCGUCUGCCUCUGGCUCAGGGCGUGAUCCCAGGGUCCUGGGAUCGAACCCCGCAUCGGGCUCCCUGCUCUGCUGAGAGCCUGCUUUUUCCUCUCCCACUCCCCCUGCUUGUGUUCCCUCUCUCGCUGGCUGUCUCUCUCUCUGUCAAAUAAAUAAAUAAAAUCUUAAAAAAAGAAAUCUAAC
This is a long non-coding RNA of Ursus maritimus (polar bear), 1564 nucleotides long. The record is from Ensembl. NCBI's taxonomy places the organism in Eukaryota, Metazoa, Chordata, Mammalia, Carnivora, Ursidae.